UAAUACAUGCAAGUCGAACGAGUUCUGAUUAUUGAAAGGUGCUUGCAUCUUGAUUUAAUUUUGAACGAGUGGCGGACGGGUGAGUAACACGUGGGUAACCUGCCCUUAAGUGGGGGAUAACAUUUGGAAACAGAUGCUAAUACCGCAUAAAUCCAAGAACCGCAUGGUUCUUGGCUGAAAGAUGGCGUAAGCUAUCGCUUUUGGAUGGACCCGCGGCGUAUUAGCUAGUUGGUGAGGUAACGGCUCACCAAGGCAAUGAUACGUAGCCGAACUGAGAGGUUGAUCGGCCACAUUGGGACUGAGACACGGCCCAAACUCCUACGGGAGGCAGCAGUAGGGAAUCUUCCACAAUGGACGCAAGUCUGAUGGAGCAACGCCGCGUGAGUGAAGAAGGCUUUCGGGUCGUAAAACUCUGUUGUUGGAGAAGAAUGGUCGGCAGAGUAACUGUUGUCGGCGUGACGGUAUCCAACCAGAAAGCCACGGCUAACUACGUGCCAGCAGCCGCGGUAAUA
Molecule: ribosomal RNA, 512 nt
Filed under: Lacticaseibacillus rhamnosus
Lineage: Bacteria; Bacillati; Bacillota; Bacilli; Lactobacillales; Lactobacillaceae
Description: bacterial SSU rRNA
Rfam family: Bacterial small subunit ribosomal RNA
Source: RNAcentral